CACGGGUGAGUAACGCGUGGAUGAUCUACCCUUAAGUUUGGGACAACAGUUGGAAACGACUGCUAAUACCGGAUACGGCACCAUUUCAUCUUGGUGUUAAAGGAGGCCUCUGCUUGCAAGCUUCGCUUUAGGAUGAGUCCGCGUUUCAUUAGGUAGUUGGUAGGGUAACGGCCUACCAAGCCAACGAUGAAUAGCUGGUCUGAGAGGAUGAUCAGCCACACUGGGACUGGAACACGGCCCAG
Molecule: ribosomal RNA, 242 nt
Filed under: uncultured bacterium
Lineage: Bacteria
Description: partial 16S ribosomal RNA
Rfam family: Bacterial small subunit ribosomal RNA
Source: RNAcentral